Molecule: ribosomal RNA, 490 nt
Filed under: uncultured bacterium
Lineage: Bacteria
Description: partial 16S ribosomal RNA
Rfam family: Bacterial small subunit ribosomal RNA
Source: RNAcentral
AUUGAACGCUGGCGGCAGGCCUAACACAUGCAAGUCGAACGGUAACAGGAUGAUGCUUGCUUCUUUGCUGACGAGUGGCGGACGGGUGAGUAAUGUCUGGGAAACUGCCUGAUGGAGGGGGAUAACUACUGGAAACGGUAGCUAAUACCGCAUAACGUCGCAAGACCAAAGAGGGGGACCUUCGGGCCUCUUGCCAUCGGAUGUGCCCAGAUGGGAUUAGCUAGUAGGUGGGGUAACGGCUCACCUAGGCGACGAUCCCUAGCUGGUCUGAGAGGAUGACCAGCCACACUGGAACUGAGACACGGUCCAGACUCCUACGGGAGGCAGCAGUGGGGAAUAUUGCACAAUGGGCGCAAGCCUGAUGCAGCCAUGCCGCGUGUAUGAAGAAGGCCUUCGGGUUGUAAAGUACUUUCAGCGGGGAAGAAGGGAAUAAAGUUAAUACCUUGGCUCAUUGACGUUACCCGCAGAAGAAGCACCGGCUAACUCCGUG